Molecule: ribosomal RNA, 433 nt
Filed under: uncultured bacterium
Lineage: Bacteria
Description: partial 16S ribosomal RNA
Rfam family: Bacterial small subunit ribosomal RNA
Source: RNAcentral
AACGAACGCUGGCGGCAUGCCUAACACAUGCAAGUCGAACGAGACCUUCGGGUCUAGUGGCGCACGAGUGCGUAACGCGUGGGAACCUGCCCUUAGGUUCGGAAUAACUCCCCGAAAGGGGUGCUAAUACCGGAUAAUGUCUUCGGACCAAAGAUUUAUCGCCUUUGGAUGGGCCCGCGUUGGAUUAGCUAGUUGGUAGGGUAAAAGCCUACCAAGGCGACGAUCCAUAGCUGGUCUGAGAGGAUGAUCAGCCACACUGGGACUGAGACACGGCCCAGACUCCUACGGGGGGCAGCAGUGGGGAAUAUUGGACAAUGGGCGAAAGCCUGAUCCAGCAAUGCCGCGUGAGUGAUGAAGGCCUUAGGGUUGUAAAGCUCUUUUAACCGGGAUGAUAAUGACAGUACCGGGAGAAUAAGCUCCGGCUAACUCCGUG